This 576-nucleotide ribosomal RNA is filed under the name Hemicentrotus pulcherrimus. RNAcentral's name for it is "partial 16S ribosomal RNA". It matches the Rfam family "Bacterial large subunit ribosomal RNA", at positions 1814 to 2599 of the family's 2925-position model. Lineage: Eukaryota; Metazoa; Echinodermata; Echinoidea; Camarodonta; Strongylocentrotidae. The record is from RNAcentral.
CAUCGCUCCCCGAAUUUAAAACAUAGGGAGUCCUGCCUGCCCAGUGACUAGAGGUUAAACGGCCGCGGUAUCUUGACCGUGCGAAGGUAGCAUAAUCAUUUGUCUCCUAAAUAGAGACUAGUAUGAAUGGCAAGACGGAACCAAACUGUCUCUUUUUCACAACCCUGAAUUUCACCUCCCCGUGAAGAGGCGGGGAUAAAAUCGUUAGACGAGAAGACCCUGUCGAGCUUUAAGCGGAAACUAAAAUUUUUACCCACUUUACCUUGUGACUAACUAAUAUAUCUAUCCAAGAGCAAGUUUAAAACUGUUUAGAGGAAGCUUUGGUUGGGGCAACCGCGGAGUAAGAAGAUCCUCCGCUAACAAAAUAUUAUUAUAAUGAGAACUACAAUUCUACAAUCAAAAUGAAAGAGUGAUCCACUAAGGUGAUCAAAGAAACAAGUUACCGCAGGGAUAACAGCGUUAUCUUUUCUGAGAGUUCACAUUGACGAAAGGGUUUGCGACCUCGAUGUUGGAUCGGGACAUCCUAAGGGUGCAGAAGCUUUUAAGGGUUGGUCUGUUCGACCAUUAAAGUCCUAC